Long non-coding RNA from Terrapene triunguis (Three-toed box turtle), 913 nucleotides. RefSeq lists it as uncharacterized. The record is from RefSeq and is a predicted model, not a curated record. Lineage: Eukaryota; Metazoa; Chordata; Testudines; Emydidae. The transcript has 5 exons.
CCGGCCGCCUUCACGCCACUAUCCCCGCUGCACACACAGUUCAUUGCGGUGGUGCCACUGUGAACAGAGGCGUUACGUGCUGCUGUGCUAUGCCCUCCUCCCCUAGCGCCCUGUUUAAAGGAAUCCGUUUGCACUGCAGUGGGUUGAGUCCGUCGCAAUUGCAAGGAGGAGACGAGAUGCGCACACUCUGGCACAGUACAGGUGGUGUCAAACCAGAGAGAGCCUCCAGAGGACAAUCUUUAGAAGAUGGAAACUUUGGGCUAAUAUGAAGAUCUGAUCCUGUCACUCUUACUCAUAUGAGGAGUCAACAUGAAGUCAAGAUAAAACAGUAUUAGAAGUUAAUCAUCAAUCCCUGGUGUUUCACCCUGUUGUAUUCUGGAGGCUAUUCUGAUGGCUUCUUCCAAAGACUGCUGCUCUCCAAGCUGAAACAAUGGUAGUGCCUGAGCCCAGCGCAUCUUAGACAAAGGAACGUUGUUUCGCCCAGCUUGACAAUGUCUCCAAUGUAAAUUAACCAAGGUGAGAUCAAAGACAAUGAAAAAGGCAUUUACGUGUAAGGUAAACAAAGUCAUCAGGUGAGCAACUGGCAGAAGAUGACCACUUAACAAUCACGACAGGGGAUUGUGGCUGCACCACCCAGACGCCUUCCUGCCUCUUGAAACAAGAUCAAUGAACUUUGGGAAGAUAUAAGCAGAAGCAAAAAGCCAUUUUGUGAUCCAUCAUAGGACGGAGACAAAGGGCCAGAGCUCUUGUAAUCUGAGAAAGUUGGAUCCUUCAACCAAGGGGGAUGAAGUGUCUGGGAACUGCCUCUAGAUGAGGAACCUGCUUAAACAGAGAUUAAAAAGUUUUAGUCACUACAAAGCGUGUUUUGUUUUGUUUUACUUGUAACCAGCUCUGUGCCUUCUAUUCUUACUUA